GUCUUUAUAGUUUAAUAAAAACAUUAGUCUUGUAAACUAAAAUUGCUCUUACUAAAGAUU
This 60-nucleotide transfer RNA is filed under the name Pseudoniphargus sp. 1-Balearics. RNAcentral's name for it is "tRNA-Thr". It matches the Rfam family "tRNA". Rfam says of the family: Transfer RNA (tRNA) molecules are approximately 80 nucleotides in length. Lineage: Eukaryota; Metazoa; Arthropoda; Malacostraca; Amphipoda; Allocrangonyctidae. The record is from RNAcentral.